Tympanuchus pallidicinctus (lesser prairie-chicken) is the source of this 1558-nucleotide long non-coding RNA. RefSeq lists it as uncharacterized. The transcript has 3 exons. The record is from RefSeq and is a predicted model, not a curated record. Lineage: Eukaryota; Metazoa; Chordata; Aves; Galliformes; Phasianidae.
UGUGUGACUAUCAGUUCCUGCGCUCUCUAGUCCUGGGGACCAGAUCCAUUUAAGGGAUGAAAGCAUCACCAUAAAUGGAAUUGUCCCAUCUCCUGCACUUGGAGAUGGUGCCAAGAGCAGACUUUCAGCUGAAAGAGCCAUCCUUCUCCAGUCUCCCUGUGGAGUUUCUCUUCUCUGUCUUUGUGAUCAUUACCACACUUUUGGGAAAGGCUACGCCUGCGAGUGCAUGGGGAAAGUCUUCAGUCACAGUGGGCUGAGCAUGAGGCAUCAAGGGGGUUUCAGAGAAAAAUGGCCAAGCUGGAUAUUGGGUUCGCCUGUUCUCUUCCUUGGAAUUACCACUUCAAAUUUAGAGCUAUAAAGGGGUCAUUGCAAAAAAUGAUACAACUACAACCCAGGAAAGCAUGUGGAUGGCAUCCAUCUCCAGCAGUCUAGGUCUGUGCAAAAUCUGCUGCUUUUCUUUGAGGCACCAUGACAGCAGCCUCAUUUUUGCCAGCACCCUGCAGCACCCUCUGAGCGUGUCUGAAAUCAGAUCUGUUUUCUUCUGAAAACCUAACGGAGUGCUUGAGAAACACGGCCAUGAAUUGUUUGGGGAAAUGGUGCCAGCCAGCCUGAUUUGCUUUUGACACGAUUCCAAAACACCAGUUGACUGGAAACUAAGUGCAACCCCAGCAGAAGGAUUAAUCCAACUAUUUUCUUAAGAAAACAUAAUUACUAUGAAUCUUUCCAAGCUUGCACAGAGCCAGCAGUAAGUCUUUUUCCUGAUCUGCCGGCUGUGGCUGCAGAUCUGGCAGCAGUGCUGUGAAAUCGAUCGUUCCCCUUUGGCAGGGCCAGUGGGUGGCAUCUGCAGAGACAGUGUUGCUGCUGAGCCUUUUCUUUUGCUGCCUGCACUGGGAUAUUGCAGCAUCUGCCAUGGCUGCUGGCUGCAGAGGUAUAUGAAGGAGGUGGUUUUCAUGUAAAAUAUGUCACCUUUUUGCUACUUUGCUCUCAGCACAGAUGUGCAUGGUAUACCCUGGGAGGAUGGCAACACCAUGGUGUGCUCAGCCCUGGUGCCCUGUGAUGGGAGGGAUGGCUGUGCAGCAAGGACUGCUUUUCUUCUUUCAAAGGAUAUUUUUAACAGGAAAACAUCAGUUAAACAAAAAACUGCAGGUUUGAUUGCUUCCUGCUGCCAGCUUUUCCUUUAGGACCUCCCAUUCCUUGUGAUAAGCUCUCCAAGCAAGGAUUUACUAACUAUUUUCAGAAGACUGACAUGAAGGUACCAUGCAGACACUCAUUAUGACAUGAAUUUUAAUCUUGUUCCAGUACUUUCAUUUUGAAAAGAGCUGGAAAAAAAAAUCCCUUAAAAAAAAAAAAGCAAAUUGAUUUUGGAUUAAUUUGAAACUUUUCUGCAGGUAGCUGGUUCUGAUGGCGCAUUGUUUCUAUCAAGGAAGGUUCAGUUUGGGGAAAUCUCACCUAGGGGAAAUCUCUUCUCAGAGCAGUGAGGCAUUGGCACAGGCUAUCCAGGGAGGGGUGGAACCACCGACCCCAGGGGUUUUCCAGAGCUGUGGGGAUGUGGCACUGA